Molecule: long non-coding RNA, 634 nt
Organism: Piliocolobus tephrosceles (Ugandan red Colobus)
Lineage: Eukaryota; Metazoa; Chordata; Mammalia; Primates; Cercopithecidae
Exons: 3
Source: RefSeq, a predicted model, not a curated record
UAAAUAUAUGCAGUUUUCUUCAAUACCGUCAGACCUCAUUGUCCUCAGGUUCAGCAUCUGCAACCAAAUGUGGAUGGAAAAUACAAGUAUUCACAGAAUGCGAAACCCAGGGAGACCAAGGACCAAUUUUUGCUACAUGCGGGUACCACAGGGCUGACUGCAGGACUUGGGCAAAACCUCGGUGAUGCAGGCUAUACUCCACCCACCACAGACAGUGCGCCCCCUUAUGGCCUGCAGCCGGAGUGGACCUCUCUCACCCCACCCUCCAGGAGCCUCCACUGCCAGUCCCUGGCCUGGGUUUUGCCUUCCUCUAAGCCCUACCAUCCUCUCAGACUUCAUCCCACCCUCUCCUGCCCCGAAGCCUCUGGCCUCACUCCCAGAUACCAGAUCACCUGCUACUCGGGCCUCUGAAUAUUGCUGAGGAAAGCCACAGAAACACAAACUUGGAAUGCUAAAAAGUCAAGAUGCUUGACUUCAAAUUACUUCUCAUAAAUACUUUUAUUCAAUUUUAUUAAGUCUUGAGAACAGGCAUUCUCAACCUGGAGUCCAUAGACCCCUAAAACUAAAUGCAUAAUUUUGUGUGUAUGUACUUCUUUCUGGAAGAAGGAUCCAUUGUAUUAGUAAAGAGAUUACA